RNAcentral lists this ribosomal RNA (245 nucleotides) under uncultured bacterium. RNAcentral describes it as "partial 16S ribosomal RNA". It matches the Rfam family "Bacterial small subunit ribosomal RNA", at positions 524 to 768 of the family's 1533-position model. The record is from RNAcentral.
UACAUAGGGGCCAAGCGUUAUCCGGAUUUAUUGGGCGUAAAGCGCGCGUAGGUGGUCGACCAAGUCGGGUGUCAAAUAUGGAAGCUCAACUUUCAUACGCGCCCGAAACUGUUCGGCUUUGAGGUCGGUAGAGGGAAGCGGAACUCACAGUGUAGCGGUGAAAUGCGUAGAUAUUGUGAGGAACACCAGUGGCGAAGGCGGCUUCCUGGCCCGUACCUGACGCUAAAGCGCGAAAGCAUGGGGAG